RNAcentral lists this ribosomal RNA (254 nucleotides) under uncultured bacterium. RNAcentral describes it as "partial 16S ribosomal RNA". It matches the Rfam family "Bacterial small subunit ribosomal RNA", at positions 524 to 776 of the family's 1533-position model. The record is from RNAcentral.
UACGUAGGGGGCAAGCGUUGUCCGGAAUCAUUGGGCGUAAAGCGCGUGUAGGCGGCUAGAUAAGUCUGCUCUGAAAGCCCGGGGCUCAACCCCGGGAGGCGGGUGGAUACUGUCUAGCUCGAGUCCGGAAGAGGAGUGUGGAAUUCCUGGUGUAGCGGUGGAAUGCGCAGAUAUCAGGAGGAACACCAAUGGCGAAGGCAGAUCUCUGGGCCGUAACUGACGCUGAGGAGCGAAAGCAUGGGGGAGCGAACAGG